GUCAGUGUGGUGUAGUGGUUUACAUGUUGGACUAUGACUCUGGAGACCAGGAUUCAAAUCUAUGCUCAGCCA
Molecule: non-coding RNA, 72 nt
Organism: Phrynosoma platyrhinos (Desert horned lizard)
Lineage: Eukaryota; Metazoa; Chordata; Lepidosauria; Squamata; Phrynosomatidae
Source: the annotation of a GenBank genome assembly